This 279-nucleotide unclassified non-coding RNA is filed under the name Glomeromycotina sp. RNAcentral's name for it is "partial contains small subunit ribosomal RNA, internal transcribed spacer 1, and 5.8S ribosomal RNA". The stretch from base 1 to 47 matches the Rfam family "Eukaryotic small subunit ribosomal RNA", at positions 1785 to 1831 of the family's 1831-position model. Lineage: Eukaryota; Fungi; Glomeromycota. The record is from RNAcentral.
AAAGUCGUAACAAGGUUUCCGUAGGUGAACCUGCGGAAGGAUCAUUAUGAAUUUGAACUUGCGUGUUGCAGCUGUUUCAUUCAUUUGAACGCUGUCCGCAAUUCUUUUUCUGUGAACUGUACUUGAGACUUUUUCCAAUUCAUUUUGGAAAAGGGCUCGGGUUACUUUUUGUUUUCUUGUAUUAUUCCAAUUUUUAUUUUCGAGUAAUUCUUGCAAAAGAAUGAAAAAAAAUAUAAAAAAAAACCAAGACAACUUUCAGCAAUGGAUCUCUUGGCUCUU